This 434-nucleotide ribosomal RNA is filed under the name uncultured Lachnospiraceae bacterium. RNAcentral describes it as "partial 16S ribosomal RNA". It matches the Rfam family "Bacterial small subunit ribosomal RNA", at positions 341 to 792 of the family's 1533-position model. The record is from RNAcentral. Lineage: Bacteria; Bacillati; Bacillota; Clostridia; Lachnospirales; Lachnospiraceae.
ACGGGAGGCAGCAGUGGGGAAUAUUGCACAAUGGGGGAAACCCUGAUGCAGCGACGCCGCGUGAGUGAAGAAGUAUUUCGGUAUGUAAAGCUCUAUCAGCAGGAAAGAAAAUGACGGUACCUGACUAAGAAGCCCCGGCUAACUACGUGCCAGCAGCCGCGGUAAUACGUAGGGGGCAAGCGUUAUCCGGAUUUACUGGGUGUAAAGGGAGCGUAGACGGCUUGGCAAGUCUGAAGUGAAAGCCCGGGGCUCAACCCCGGAACUGCUUUGGAAACUGUUGAGCUGGAGUGCAGGAGAGGUAAGCGGAAUUCCUAGUGUAGCGGUGAAAUGCGUGGAUAUUAGGAGGAACACCAGCGGCGAAGGCGGCUUACUGGACUGUAACUGACGUUGAGGCUCGAAAGCGUGGGGAGCAAACAGGAUUAGAUACCCUGGUA